AAGGAGAAGAAAGAUCGAGUGACGAGGGAGAGAGGGAGAGAGCCAAGGAAGGGAAAGGAACUUUUUUUUUUUUUUAAUUUUGAAAAAAAGAAGAAAAAAAAAGAAA
RNAcentral lists this non-coding RNA (106 nucleotides) under Chloropicon mariensis. The record is from RNAcentral. Lineage: Eukaryota; Viridiplantae; Chlorophyta; Chloropicophyceae; Chloropicales; Chloropicaceae.